GGGGGCGACCGGUUUCGACGGGGACCGUAGGUCAGGAGCUGCGGGCCGGGUGGCUCACGUAAGAGCCAGCGAACACUUCCCGAAGCUGAGCUCGCUCUCGCCGCCUAAGAAAGAGGCGGCGCGUCCCCGGCAGGUAGGCGGGUGGCUUGCCGGUGGGCGUCAGACACACCCGCUGUGGUAUCCCCGACGCACGGUGAGGGGAUACCGAGACGGAAAGCCGUGCUCCUCCCGCCGAGCUUGCCCGUGGGCGCAGGCGGGAGCAGAAAGGAUCACGGGCUACGCCCGCUAAACCUCCUGAGCACCGAAAGUCCUCGGACGCGGGUUCGAUUCCCGCCGCCUCCACCA
RNAcentral lists this transfer-messenger RNA (345 nucleotides) under Aquifex aeolicus. It matches the Rfam family "transfer-messenger RNA". From Rfam's summary of the family: Bacterial tmRNA, also known as 10Sa RNA or SsrA, is named for its dual tRNA and mRNA-like properties. Its role is to liberate the mRNA from a stalled ribosome. To accomplish this part of the tmRNA is used as a reading frame that ends in a translation stop signal. The record is from RNAcentral. Lineage: Bacteria; Pseudomonadati; Aquificota; Aquificia; Aquificales; Aquificaceae. RNAcentral also lists the same sequence under 1 other name.